This 1517-nucleotide long non-coding RNA is filed under the name Macaca fascicularis (crab-eating macaque). Its description in RNAcentral is "lncRNA (ENSMFAG00000057016.1)". Lineage: Eukaryota; Metazoa; Chordata; Mammalia; Primates; Cercopithecidae. The record is from RNAcentral.
GGGCUUCCUGGAGGAGUGAGCCAGGGUAAAAGACUCCAGAUUGCAUCCCUAUGGCCCAUCGUCCUCCUUCCUUAGCAGCCUUACGUCUUCAUUCCCUCAGUACAUGCUGUGUUCCUGGCUCCUUGUGGGAGACAAUGCUGGGCCACAGGAGAAGCCAAUUCAGCCCCAAUCUUCCCUGGUGGGAGCUCAGAGCCUUGUGAAGGGGAGAUGGACAACAAAAACAAGGGAGGGAAGCUGACUAGUCUCAGAAUCUCGGGUAGGGCAUCAGAACGAGAGAAGGAACCAAGGUUGGUGGCUAAAAGGACCCUAGAGUGCCCCAGAGAGGAGGUGGCGGGGAGAGGCUAGGGCCUUUCGUCUGGGAAGCCUUUCCCUGCAUGUCCAUGUGCUGGGCUACAGCGCCCUCUGCUGGUCUCUCCUGGUAAUGCCUAGGCACCGUGCCUAGGUAUCUGGGGUGGUAAAUAGGGACCUCCUUGGCUUUCUUCCACAUCGCCAGACCUUAAGGGAAUGCAAAUGAGGAAGCUCUUCCUCUGUUCACAGCCACAGUCGUCCUCACACACAUCUCAUCUCCAGUCCCUUGAUCCCCUUGCCCACUCCCUUCAGAAUAUAGAAGUCAAGCCACUUACUAUGGCUUAUGCAGGUCCUGCAUGGCCUAGCACCUGGUAACCUCGCUGGCUCCAUCUUCUUCUGCUCCCCCUUUGAAUAUCAAAUCAGUGGUUAUUUAGUUCUGAGGAGCCAUAAAUCCUUUUUGGAACCCACAAAUGAUGCCAUGAACCACUGCAUUGGAGAAUACAGAGGCACAUGGAAUUGCAUAAAAAUUCAUGAGGUUCUCAAAACCUCCACAGCCCAAUCAUGGCUUUCAAGUUAGAGCUCGUUUCCUACGCCCUGACGGUACUGAAGUGCUUGUAGCAACCAGAACUGUCCGUACCUGCCAUCCUCCUCAAGACUCUUCCUUACCUUCCUCUUACCCAGCUCCUACUCGUUCUUCAGGUCUUAGCUUGAGGGUCCCCUCCCAGAAAGAAGCCUUCCUUGACCCUCCAGCCUGGGGUGGGCAGCUCCCUCAGCCCUCUGGAUCCAUCAAAGCCCUGGCCACUGAAUGGUUAUUGGUGACAUGUCUGUCUACUAUGCUGGUAACACCUAAAUAGAGCCCCACCCAUCCCACAGGGAAAUAAGGACCACAGUUGUCUUGUUUCACACCUGCGGAUUUCCUCCAGGUCCUGGGAACACAAAAUGGGAAGUUCUAUCUCAUCACCCAUCUCAUGCCAGCCAGAGACAGGGUAUGAUGAUGGAAGUAAGCCAGGCUGGUGGCUCACGUAUGUAAUCCCAGCACUUUGAGAGGCUGAAGCGGGAGGACUGCUUGAGGCCAGGAGUUGGAGACCAGCCUGGUCAACGAAGUGGGACCCUGACUCUGCAAAAUAAUUUAAAAAUUAGCCAGGCGCGGUGGUGCGCGCCUGAAGUCCCCAACUACUCCAAAGGCUGAGGCAGGAGGAUCACUUGAGCACAAAAAUGUGAGAUUACAG